GCCUUCCUCGUGGUAUCGUCCAAACUGUUGCGCAUAUUAUUCACCGAAGGGGAGUUACCCUCGAACGUAUAUCGAUUCCCAUGGGGCUGAACUCAGUGCGCAAGGCUCGAAAUUCCCACCCUCGUGAGGAAAAUGUUGGUUAUUGAUGGAGCAUGAGGAAACGAGAAGUUCAAUCAUUUUUCAAUUAAGCUGUCAAUAAUUUGGAGAAGGAACUUUUUGUGUAAGACAACUGAAGAAUGGUCUUCGUACGAGGUUAAAUUUAAAGAGCGAUCAAGCGAUCUCGAAGAAUACGGUUGAUCAACAAAGGGAGCGCCGUCGAUGCUUCGCUGUCGGUGGCGUCGGCAUUUAUAAAAGUAAUAAAACAAUCGAACAACGACUCUACGAAGUGAGUGCGAUCAGAGUGAGACGGAGGAGUAAGAGUAAGAGGAGACGAUAAAAAAUAACAAGUUUCAGAAAGGACACGAAAGAAAGAAAAAGAGCGAGAGAGAGAGAGAGAGAGAGAGAGGGAGAAGGAGAAAGCUCAAGAGUUCGCGAUCGGAGGUGAAAAUAUUGAGAGAAGCCAUGGGCGGGAGCAAAGGAACGUGAAAAAGAGAUAAAAAACCUCGCGGAUAAGAAAAUAAUAAUAAAAAAAUGGAGAGAAAAUAAAAAGGGAUAGGAAUGAAACACACGAGAACAGCGACCCGACCCGACCGACCGGUAGCUCAGCCAAGCGGACCACGUGUAUAUAUCUUGCUCCGAUUCACCACGCACACUGUGCCCGAUUCCUCCUCGUGGUUCUCAAAGACAAACAACACCCUUUUCGCUUCCUUUCGACUUCGACUCGAGCCUUUGUUUUCAUUGAACUUGAAAAUUGAGCUUUUAAUCACACUUUAUAAAAUUGUCUGCAACUAUUGGGUUUUCGCACUAAAAGUCAAAGUAUUGAUAGUCAUGAUUGGAACAUGGAGAUCCUGAAAUUUUAUCCAAAAUUAACAAAAAGCGUAAAUACCAAUUUUUUUCGUGCACUUUUAUCGAUCGGAAAAAAACGAAAUCAAUUCUUUUAGUACUUUAGUAUUUUCUUUUUUCGUCAUGCCUGGGCCUCUCAAAAUCCAAAUUUCUAUCAAGUUUUCUUUUCGUGGUUUUAAUCGAUAAUUAAGCUUCUUUUUCUAUGAAAACGGAAACGCGUUUGCCACAAAAGUUUUAAUUUUCUCGUCGAUCUAAUCCGACUAUUGCUAGAUUUCUAUUAAUAACUCUAUCGAAGGACACAAAAUUGAAAGUUUCAUUAAUAAUUAUAAUUCGAUGAAGUCAUAAUGAGCUGUGAAUCUGAACGAUAAUGUUUCGAAGGUGAUGGUGAAUUCGUAAGAAAAUGGUCGACAGGUUGAGAGCCAGGGUAUGUAGAGCAGAUGCUCGGGCAUGGCGAGUGCUAUAGCGGGGGGUGCGUGAUUUUUCAUCGCCGACAGCCUCCUCCUUUCGAGACCCCGGAGCAUUCCACCUUCAGCUCUGCAUACUGCAUUUGCCGCCUUCUCUUUCUUCCUAUCUCUUCUUCGACCUCUCGUCUUUCAUUCUUACUUCGUAUUCAUUUGGUCGUCGUGUACUUAAAAUUACUUUUACGAUGUAUAGACUUUAAUCUUUUUUUCAGUCAGUUUUUCAGAUUUUUUUCUCUCCAUCUUAUUCACGACACACAUGCAACGCUACAGAGCUGCGGUCAACUUUCAUGCUUCGAUGACGAAAAAUGUGCUGAAUUCUUCAAUUACGCGACCACGGACGUUCUCCGCGCGAAAACUCCAGUCCGCUGUUUCGGCUUGGCUCUUGCACCGAAAACAAAAUUCGGUAGCAGGACAAAAUUUUCCAAGUGAAAAUGAAAAUUUCAACUGAAACAAUGAGCUCCGAUAUGCACUCAAAGUACAUGCGAUGUGACAAAUCAGAAGCUCGGAGUUAAUGAGAGGAUGUAAGGAGCACUUGGCAACUCUGCGAAGAGAAUACUUCGCGAAGCGAAGAGCUGAAACACUCGUCGUGGAAACGGAAACACCGACGGAAAAUGACGAUAGGGAAUUCCGGAAGAAAUAUUCGUCGGCGCAUUCACGGAAGUUCCCGCCAAGUUCAUAUUGCUCUUGACGGACAAGGAGCAACGAGAUAAUAUGGACGAAGCUCAGAAAAAUUCUUCGAAAUCGGACGAAAAGGGGAAUCUCGUUUGCUCGAUUUUUCUGGAGCACAGGUAUGCGCUUCGUAUCUUCAGCAAACGAACUUAAUGCUAUGCUCGUAGGAUUCUAUAUUCGAAGUCGGCUCCUGUGGGCGCGGGUGCAUUGGGCGCGCACGUGCGCUCAAUUUUCUCGCGGUUUGCCGAUCGAUCUUCGCGAUAGCGAUGAAAGUAGUUCGCCCCUCCGCACUCGUCGCUGCACCGUUACGAUGUACGCCAAGUACACAAGACUUCCGUGUUUAGUUAGUUCUUCGGAUGUUGCCAAGGCCUUUUCGCAGCAAUGAAGUCCGCGAAUAUUGCAGUACGUACCUGCUUCACCCGAUCGGGUUUUUAUGCCCAACUUGACUGUGGGAGUUACAGGUUCGAUUGCUGAAAACCAACAGACUUUAAGAAAAUCCAACGAUCUCUGAUGUCCCCGCUGAGGUCGCUUUCUACGAGUAUUUUUCUGAUGUUGAGGAAGUAGGAAUUUAAAGAACUGUUCUCGAAUUUCGAGCGGAACACUUUCUUUUUGAUAAAGAAAUGAAAUGUUCAAACGAAACGCAGAGACGUCGGUAGAGCAAACUCCACGAAAAUCGAAUCUCCAGACUGCUUCAGAGUCGUUUCUUUCUUCGGAAUCGUAUCAUCAGUUUUUUUCAAACUUUUUAUACAAAUUUUUAUGACCGCUGGGUGGAUUACACGGAGAAAACGAGCCUUAAAAUUCUAGAGGAAAUUACUAGGAAAAUAUUAUCUCAGGGACAGUGUGUGUACGUACUGGAUUGCAGCAUUAAUUCAAAGCGCAUUAAUAAGAAUUGUUCUAUCCACCAUAGUAAAAAGACCAAUACCUUUUGUCCAAAAAGAGUCUUCUUCUCUACAAAGCAUAGAAAAAAUUAUUUUCAGUCACUUUAAAUGUUUAUAUUGUUAAGUAUGCUCGGGAGGAAACCCUGAAAAAAAACUAUGUACGCAAAAUGUCACGCGUAUUCGGUAUAUAUUCGUGUAUUUAUCAUAAAAUUUACCACGCUGACAUUAGAAAAUUUGCGAUUUCCAAUAAAUUUCGACUUAUCAGUAAGUGCUAGUCUGACACGAUGUGAAAAACUCGAAAACAAAACGAAAUAUAGUUCUCACCUGCCUCACCUUGACACGAAGCUGUUUGUAAUUCAAGGGACGAAAAAAACAGCAAAAUUCAAAAAAUACUAUGCUGUUUGUAAUCGAUGGCUAAAUGCUUUGAAAAUUAUUGAAAAAUAAUAUAUUCCUCGCCAUAAACAAAACGAAUCUCUGUUUUCUCUGUGUACUGUGGUUGGAGGAAAAUAAUGAUUAAAAUA
Long non-coding RNA from Venturia canescens, 3471 nucleotides. RefSeq lists it as uncharacterized. NCBI's taxonomy places the organism in Eukaryota, Metazoa, Arthropoda, Insecta, Hymenoptera, Ichneumonidae. The record is from RefSeq and is a predicted model, not a curated record. The transcript has 3 exons.